CUUUGUGGUCGCGAUGGGCACUGGGCCUCGAAGUGUCACAAGCACUUCCAGCGGGGUUUUCUUGGUCUCGGCAAUGACGGGAAGGAUACACGCAACUUUGCUCGUCAGGUCGCCAUGGCUGAUCGUCCGCCGCCGCAGAAGCCACAGGGACACACUCAGUCCUACUUCAUUGAUCCCCACUGGUACAUGGACUCUGGGGCGACAGAGCACCUGACCAGUGAGAUGGGGAAGCUUCACACUCGUGAACCCUACCAUGGCUCCGACAAGAUCCACACCGCCAAUGGAGCAGGUAUGCACAUCUCUCAUAUUGGUCAAGCAUCACUUCUCACUAGACAUGCCAAUAAGAGUCUUCAACUUGGCAAUGUUCUUCGAGUUCCA
RNAcentral lists this ribosomal RNA (378 nucleotides) under Triticum aestivum (bread wheat). RNAcentral's name for it is "partial small subunit ribosomal RNA". The record is from RNAcentral. Lineage: Eukaryota; Viridiplantae; Streptophyta; Magnoliopsida; Poales; Poaceae.